This is a long non-coding RNA of Chelmon rostratus (copperband butterflyfish), 1387 nucleotides long. RefSeq lists it as uncharacterized. The transcript has 2 exons. NCBI's taxonomy places the organism in Eukaryota, Metazoa, Chordata, Actinopteri, Chaetodontiformes, Chaetodontidae. The record is from RefSeq and is a predicted model, not a curated record.
UGUCACGUACUUUUUAUUGGAAGGAGCAGCGGGUUGGACGUGUUGUUUGAGUUCCAAAUAGUUAAUAAAUAAUUGUUGUUUUUUUUGUAGUUUUUAAGAUUUAAAGAGAGUAGUUCGUUAGAAAAGGCUAUCCCUGCCAGGUUUUACUUUUUUUAAAACUCAGAAGAAGGCAUCUUUGACUUGUUCUUCAGCGAAGAGAAACGAAACCCGCCAAGUCACUCAUCCGGAAUUGACAUUUUUUAAUAGUUUUUUUCGGUCGGAUAUGUGUUUAGAAACAAUGGACACCAACUCGAAACGCAUAAAAACCGACUGUCUGAGGAAAACCAUGAAAGCUGGAUCGAAGUUGAGGUGGAGACUGCUCCAUGUCUCCGCAGAGGAGGACGAGGCCUUCAAACAUUUUCGAGCCAGCGCGAUGAGGGCGACCAUCCGAAAAUACCUCCGCCGGCAACAGAGGCGGCCACAGCUGGCUAAAUUCACCAGAAUCAUUGGAGACGUGGACGAGAAAGAGAAAAGGGAUUGCGAGUACGAGGAAAGUCCCACCGCGGCCUGUGUUCACCCUCACCAACCGGGAGCAAUGGCGCCGGAAAACACCACGCAGUACCUGAUGGGUCAUGUGUAUGAAGAUAUGAAGAUGAACAAAGUCCAGACGGUUCCAGUUUCACAUGAAACAUCUGCACUUCUGUAUGCGGGGUCUCUUUCACCCAGUAGUGUGUACACUGCUCUGGACUCUGGUUAUGAGAGCUGCCUUGCCUUCCAGCAGAGGGACUUUGAUGAAGUGUUUGGCUUGUAUUGGUAACCGGAAGAAACUGGUUGGUCUACGUGGCCUUGUGAAACUGGUUUGGCGUCCUUUCCAGCACUGACUUUCUAUUACGGACAAAUAAAAAGCGGCGCACUGGACGGUGCCCGCCCAGAAGGCAGCGCUCCUGAGCCCUGCCCUGCGCCGCACAGAGGAACGAAUCAAACGCACGCACCUCGGCUCUGGCCUGGCCACGGAUUGUGAACCCAGGUAAACCCGGGCAGGUAUUGUGUUGUACUGCAUUGUCGUUGAUGACAAUAGUAGUAGAUUGUGAUGCGAUGUUGGACCCAUCAACAGUCACUGUUGUCUGAGCGUUUUCCAGGUCACCCCUGCCAGGACAAAAGGCUCUGCUGUGAGAGGAGCAGGAGGCAAGGAGGUCAGUCUUCACGUGACUGACACAAGGUGACAUUAUUGCCCAUUGGUUAUCUUGACUGUUUCCAGGAAGAUUGAAGUUGAAAUAAGUCUAUUGGUAAUCCUGGCCAAAUAUUUGUACCAGUGUUAAAAUUAGUGUGAACUUCUAUUUAUAUACUGUAAGAUUACGAGGUGUGUUAGUUGAAGGAUAACUUUGUUCAAUAAAAGUGCUUUAUCAUA